AGUUUGAUCCUGGCUCAGGAUGAACGCUGGCGGCGUGCCUAAUACAUGCAAGUCGAACGCUUUGUGGUUCAACUGAUUUGAAGAGCUUGCUCAGAUAUGACGAUGGACAUUGCAAAGAGUGGCGAACGGGUGAGUAACACGUGGGAAACCUACCUCUUAGCAGGGGAUAACAUUUGGAAACAGAUGCUAAUACCGUAUAACAAUAGCAACCGCAUGGUUGCUACUUAAAAGAUGGUUCUGCUAUCACUAAGAGAUGGUCCCGCGGUGCAUUAGUUAGUCGGUGAGGUAAUGGCUCACCAAGACGAUGAUGCAUAGCCGAGUUGAGAGACUGAUCGGCCACAAUGGGACUGAGACACGGCCCAUACUCCUACGGGAGGCAGCAGUAGGGAAUCUUCCACAAUGGGCGAAAGCCUGAUGGAGCAACGCCGCGUGUGUGAUGAAGGGUUUCGGCUCGUAAAACACUGUUGUAAGAGAAGAAUGACAUUGAGAGUAACUGUUCAAUGUGUGACGGUAUCUUACCAGAAAGGAACGGCUAAAUACGUGCCAGCAGCCGCGGUAA
Molecule: ribosomal RNA, 559 nt
Filed under: uncultured bacterium
Lineage: Bacteria
Description: bacterial SSU rRNA
Rfam family: Bacterial small subunit ribosomal RNA
Source: RNAcentral